ACGAACGCUGGCGGCGUGCUUAACACAUGCAAGUCGUACGGUAAGGCCCUUUCGGGGGUACCCGCGUGGCGAACGGGUGAGUAACACGUGAGUAACCUGCCCACAACUUUGGGAUAACGCUAGGAAACUGGUGCUAAUACUGGAUAUGUGCUCCUGCUGCAUGGUGGGGGUUGGAAAGCUCCGGCGGUUGUGGAUGGACUCGCGGCCUAUCAGCUUGUUGGUGGGGUAGUGGCCUACCAAGGCGGCGACGGGUAGCCGGCCUGAGAGGGUGACCGGCCACAUUGGGACUGAGAUACGGCCCAGACUCCUACGGGAGGCAGCAGUGGGGAAUAUUGCACAAUGGGCGCAAGCCUGAUGCAGCAACGCCGCGUGCGGGAUGACGGCCUUCGGGUUGUAAACCGCUUUCAGCAGGGACGAAGCUUUUUGUGACGGUACCUGCAGAAGAAGCACCGGCUAACUACGUG
RNAcentral lists this ribosomal RNA (464 nucleotides) under uncultured bacterium. RNAcentral describes it as "partial 16S ribosomal RNA". It matches the Rfam family "Bacterial small subunit ribosomal RNA", at positions 29 to 507 of the family's 1533-position model. The record is from RNAcentral.